Molecule: non-coding RNA, 73 nt
Organism: Nyctereutes procyonoides (raccoon dog)
Lineage: Eukaryota; Metazoa; Chordata; Mammalia; Carnivora; Canidae
Source: the annotation of a RefSeq genome assembly
GCCUGGCUAGCUCAGUUGGUAGACCAUGAGACUCUUAAUCUCAGGGUUGUGAGUUCAAGUCUCAUUUUGGGCA